RNAcentral lists this ribosomal RNA (253 nucleotides) under uncultured bacterium. RNAcentral's name for it is "partial 16S ribosomal RNA". It matches the Rfam family "Bacterial small subunit ribosomal RNA", at positions 524 to 776 of the family's 1533-position model. The record is from RNAcentral.
UACAGAGGGUGCAAGCGUUAAUCGGAAUUACUGGGCGUAAAGCGCGCGUAGGUGGUUUGUUAAGUUGAAUGUGAAAUCCCCGGGCUCAACCUGGGAACUGCAUCCAAAACUGGCAAGCUAGAGUAGGGUAGAGGGUGGUGGAAUUUCCUGUGUAUCGGUGAAAUGCGUAGAUAUAGGAAGGAACACCAGUGGCGAAGGCGACCACCUGGACUCAUACUGACACUGAGGUGCGAAAGCGUGGGGAGCAAACAAG